Molecule: ribosomal RNA, 1471 nt
Filed under: uncultured Bordetella sp.
Lineage: Bacteria; Pseudomonadati; Pseudomonadota; Betaproteobacteria; Burkholderiales; Alcaligenaceae
Description: partial 16S-23S ribosomal RNA intergenic spacer
Rfam family: Bacterial small subunit ribosomal RNA
Source: RNAcentral
AGUUUGAUUAUGGCUCAGAUUGAACGCUGGCGGGAUGCUUUACACAUGCAAGCCAGCCGCAGCACGGACUUCGGUCUGGCAAGGAGUGGCGAACGGGUGAGUAAUACCGUGAAUCGCCUAGUAGCGGGGAUAACUACGCGAGCGUAGCUAAUACCGCAGCCACGCCCUUCGGGGGAAAGCGGGGACCCUUCGGGCCUCGCACUAUUAGAGCGGCCGAUAUCGGAUUAGCCAGCGAAAGGGCAACGGCUCAACAUGAUGAUCCGUAGCUGGUUUGAGAGGACGACCAGCCACACUGGGACUGGAGACACGGCCCAGACUCUACGGAGGCAGCAGCGGGGGAAUUUUGGGAUACGGGAAACUCGACCAGCCACCUCCAGUGUGUGGUGAUGAGGCCUUCGCUGGGUUGGGAAGAAUUUGGCAGAAAGAAACGGCACGGGAUACCCCGUGCAACUGACGGUACCUGCAGAAUAAGCACCGGCUAACUACGCCAGCAGCCGCGGUAAUACGUAGGGUGCAAGCGUUAAUCUGGUCACGGUAAGGAAGCGUGUGCAAGUAGUCUGGAAAGAAAGAUGUGAAAUCCAGAGCUGAAUCUUUGGAACUGCAUUUUUAACUACCGAGCUAGAGUGUCAGAGGGAGGUGGAAUUCCGCGUGCAGUGGUGAAUAUGUAGAUAUGCGGAGGAACACCGAUGCAUAGGCACAAACCGGAUAACACUGACGCUCAUGCACGAAAGCGUGGGAGCAAACAGGAUUAGAUACCCUGAAACUACGCCCUAAACGAUGUCAACUAGCUGUUGGGGCUCUCUGGCCUGGUAGCGCAGCUAACGCAAGCGACCGCCUGGGAGUACGGUCGCAAGGAUUAAAACUCAAAGGAAUUGACGGGACCUGCGCCGUUGUGGAUGAUGUGGAUUGAACGGAUGCAACGCGAAAAACCUUACCUACCCUUGACAUGUCUGGUAACCCUAAAGAUUUUUAUGCCUGCAAGAGAACCGGAACAUGUAGGGUGCUGUAUGGUUGUCGUCAGCUCGUGUCGUGAGAUGUUGGGUUAAACCCGCAACGAGCGGCAACCCUUGUCAUUAGUUGCUACGAAAGGGCACUCUAUCGAGACUGCCGGUGACAAAACCUGGAUAGCGGUGGGAUGACGUCAAGUCCUCAUGGCCCUUAUGGGUAGGGCCUUCACACGUCAUACAAUGGUCGGGACAGAGGGCCGCCAACCCGCGAGGGGAGCUAAUCCCAGAAACCCGAUCGUAGUCCGGAUCGCAGUCUGCAACCUGACUGCGUGAAGUCGGAAUCGCUAGUAAUCGCGGAUCAGCAUGGUCGCGUGAAUACGUUCCCGGGUCUUGUACACACCGCCCGUCACACCAUGGGAGGGGUUUUACCAGAAGUGAAGAAUGGACCGCAGAGCGGCAUACUACCACGGUAGAUUCAUGCGACUGGGGCAGAAACAACAAGGUAACUUGAAGAUACCUGAUGC